UUUUCAUGUACUAGCAACAAAACACAAUAGUAUUUGGAAAUAACAAAUACAUAGGAAAAAAAGGUAAAAAAAAAUAUGGAAAUUUUACCCCCAAACUCCAAAUAUAACUGGGAGAAAUUGAAUAAAUUAUAAAUGAAUGAAUAUAUAUAACAUUUCAAUAAGUAAAAACUUUAAAUUGUAGAUAGGAAAAUUUUCCUAAAACUGAUUUAUAGAAUGCAACUGAUUCUAAAUAAAAUUCCAGCACAAAUUUUUUUUCCUGUGGAAAUCUACAAACUAAUUAAAAAUGCAUAGGAAUGCACAGGGUUCAAAAUAGCCAAGACAAUCUCGAAGACAUAGAAAUUAUGUAUUUUUAAAAUUGAAGAGUGGUAAAAUAAAACGCAGCAUAUAAUUUGCCAUCUUAGUCAUUUUAAGCAUACAGUUUCCUAGUGGCUGUAUCUCAUUAUUAUUAAACAGAUCCCCAGAAGUUUUUCCUCUAGCAAAUCUGCAACUCCAUCCUUCUAACUUCUCUCCUUCCCCCCCCCGCCCCCCGGUUCCUGGUAACCACAGCCCUCCUUUCUGUCUCUUAUGACUUUGACUCCUCUCUGUACCUUUCAUAAGUGGAAUCAUGGCAUUUACCUUUGUAUGACUGGCUUCUUUCACUUAGCAAAUGACCUCAAGUUGCAGCAUACGAUAGGAUUUCUUUCCUUUCUAGAGUGUGUGUCCUUGGGGAAAUUUAGAUGCACACACGCCCUUCAUUUCCCACUGCACAUCGGGCUGCUUCUACAUCUUGGCUAUGCUUUGCAGCUGCGAACACAAAUAUGCAAAUACCUUUUCGAGACUGUUUUCAAGUCUCUGUUUCCUCCCAUUCCUCUUACAUUAAAGUCUUUGAUCAACUUUGAUUUAAUUUUGUAUCGUUUGAGGUAUGGGUCCAACUUUCUUCGUUUGUAGCCAGUAGUCCCAGAACCGUAAUAUUGAAGAGACUAUUAUUUAUUCACUGAAUGGCCGGUCGGCAGCCUUGUGGAGAAUCAGUGGACCGUAGAUGUCUGAGGUUGUUUCUGUGUCAUUAAUUCUUGACUUUAUUCCGCUGAUCUAUCUGCCUGUGCUUAUGCAGAUAGUUUAGGUCACUGUCACUUUACAGCACGCUCUCAAAUUGAGACGUACAAGCCCUUCCACCUUAGCCGUCUUCGUUUCAGCAGGUUAGGGCCUCUGGUAAUGCCAUGUGAAUUUUAGGAUCAAUUUAUUCCUUUGUGCAAAAGUAGGGCACAGUGAUUUUAAUGGGACUGCGUGAACUGUGCAGAUCACUUUGGAUAUUAUGGGCUUCUUAGUAAUAUUGGGUCUUCCACUGUGUGAACAUGGCCUGUCUUGGCAUUUAAUCCGACCUUGUUUACAUACUUGGAGCAGUGUGUUGCAGUUUUUAGUGUACAGGCUGGUGAUUAAGAGGUGACCAGCGGGUACAGUUAGAUACAACUCUCUUUUAUUGACAUUUAUCAGUGUGUUUCUUCACGAAGCACUCUUCUGGCUGUUGUAAUGUUUGUUAUUAGAUUCCAAAGUUCUGAAAAAGUUGAUUCCAAUAUUUUUUGCCAUCCUAUCUACUGUUUUUCCGGAGGAACAGUGUUUUUGUGGUUCCUGACUGCCAUUUUUGGUGAUCUCACCUCUAAAAAAAUUCCUCCUAAUAUGAAUUUUCUUCUUGCGAUUUAUUUUCCUUUUCUAUUCCUUCUUUCUUUGAUUGUAUAUUCAAAUCCUAUGUUCAUUUCUAUUGAGCUUUUUGCAGGCGAGUAGUCUAUAAAGAAUCCUUAUCGCUCAAUCAUUUUGGGACUAUGAUUCAGACUUUUGUGUAUAUUUUAAAAUUUUAGUUUGGAGUAAACAUUUGGAAUACAAAGUUGCAACUAUUCAUCGUCUUUCUUCUGUGAUAUUUAUCUACCAUGUUAUAACGCUUAGAAAGUCUUUCACUCUCCCAACGGUAGCAUAUAUCACUUUUUUACUUCUGUGUUUUCAAAUUUUAUAUGGAAACCUCAACUGAAAAUUAAUUUUCGUGUAGCGUAUGGUAUUAAGAUAAUAGUUUUCUUUCAAUUAGUUUCCUGCAAGUCUGAAUCUGUGUUCUAAAAAAAGCCGUUGUCUGUAAACCAUGUAGAAUAUUACCUGUAUUCUGUGCUAACAUUUUAGUUGGAUCUAUUCUGAACAAUUGAUUCCAUUAUAAUAAUGCUUAAGUUCCACACCAUUUAUAUUUUUAUAAUGCAUUUAAACAUCUCUAAUACCUGCCUUAUUUCAAACCUUAAUAUUCUUUAUAAAAGUUGUCUUGGCCUUAUGAAUGGAUUUAUUCUCCCAUAUCCUUUGUCUGCCCAAAGUAUAUAUUUGUUGGCUUCAGUUAGAGACUUUUCAUGGUGACCGAUAUGAAAAUAAUUCACAGAUAAUGAAUAUUUACAAUUGAAGAAAAGGUCAAUUCAUUUUUGUCUGGAAAUUAAGUACCAUUUCAAAUGAUCUUUAACAGGCAAAACCAGGCAAACCUCAGAAAUUCAUAGGCUCCACACAGACCUAGAAAUUGUGGAAAUGAGCCCUGUGACCUGGGAGCCUGGGUCUGUAGGUGGGAGCAUAUGCUUUUCUACCCAACAGGAUUCAAUUGCCUACGUUACGUUAUGUGGAGCUCAGUCUUCUCAAACGCUGCGUGCACAGUGUCUCAGCUGUUAAAGGGAGGCAGUGUGAUUUCAUCAAAGAAUUUUUAUCAAAAAAUGUGCAUAAAAAUGGUUGGUGAAACAAAACAUGCUGUGUCAAUAUAAAGCGAUCCUAGACCUCCACAAAACGGAUACUGUCCUGUCAUAGUUAACCUGUCAUAGGUUAAUGUCCAAAGUAUACAGUUUUCAAGGGUUAUGCGGUGAGGAAGCUCUUCCUUCCCCACUACAGCUUCCAAGGAAGGGAUACAUUCCCUAGACACUGUCAGUACUUAAUAGACUUUUGCAGAAGAGAAAACCCCCAAAGCUGUUUUCCUUUUGGCCUUUCAAAUAUAGUGCUGCUAGUGGCUGUUGGGUUUACCGUUUCUGCUACCAGUAGAAUGGCAAUGACAGGUCACAUCUGUACUUUAACUGAGACUUUUACAAUAGGUAAAGAGUACAUAGGCAACUACUGGAAAUAAACAUGGAGAAAAUGAAAAACGUUUUUGAUAGAGUGUUGGUAUAGCAGGUGGUUCGUAAAAUUAACUUUGAUAUUCUAUUUUUUCUGGCAAGAAACUUCAUGAGAAAUAUAAUAGCUGUAUGUUAGCUCUAAUCAGGCUUUGUAUAACAUUUCAACUGUAUUUUUGAAAAUGAUUUUGGGUCAUAUUUAUACUAAAGUAAGAUAUUCCGUUUUCCUUCUCAAUAAUAACUGCUCAUAUAGGAAGGUCUUUUACCUCCUUUUCAUAUUCAGGAUUAUAUUUUCACUUGCUUGUUUUGGAAAUUUAAGUCAUAACACUAGUUAAGACACAUUGGCAGAUAUCUGGAAGUUUGAGGAUUCAUAUACCCAUAUUUACCAGAAUUAAGAGUUUUUAGUAAAGUCGAGCCUUGAAAUUUUAGUUUCUAUGGAAACAAAUUUUAGUGAUAGCAACCCAAAUGCUUAUUUACUUGAAAAUGUAAAGCUAUACAAGAUGUGCAAUACGCCUUUAUUAUUAAUUUUGCUAUUUUGAAAUUGAUCUAGAAGUUGUCAUUUCUCCCAUCGCUUUUACUUAUUGGUGAAUAACCAUAAAUGAAUAAGAGUCAGAUGAGAAAAGACUUGUGUCUUUGGGUCAAAUGCAAACAUUUUGAUUCUUUUUCCUUGAUCUUUCCUUGGAGUACUUAUGAAUUUUGCAUUAAGGUUUGCAUUAAAAUAAAAAGAGACCGAGAAAUAACCCCAUGCUUUCCAUGGAUUAAGGCACCAUGGAGAAGCACCUACUUCCUGCCAACUAGCAAAAAGGUCAGAAUCCCUAUUGGGAACAGCCAGUAACUGUGCAUACAAUUCCUCAGGCCAGCAUGACCUGCAAAUAGGACUCCCUUACAGAGGCAGCUGAGUCACUCAACAGCUCCCUCAAGUAGGGCCCCGUCUGAAGUGAAUUGCUUUCCUCUCAAACUCAAAGAUCGUCAGUGUUCAUUUGAGAAAACAGAAAACGUCCCACUUAAGGUCACUCUUCUAAUCACCGUGUCUUUUUAAAACUAGAAUUUUCCAAAGAUAAAAAAUUUUGUACCACCCUGCUAUUCACUCGCUCUGGUCAUGUAGGGUUUUGUUUUGUUUUGUUUUUUCUUUCCAUGCAGCAGGAGUUGAUGGAUGUUAGGGUGAUGAGGCCCCGGUGGUUGGCUAUGCCACAUACACACACCCACACUCACAAACACACCUUUAAGAAAUAAUUUAUCCUGGAGUUCCCACUGUGACUCAGUGGGUUAGGAACCUGACUUAGGGUCUGUGAGGACAUAGGUCUCAUUCCUGGCCUCGUGCAGUGGGUUAGGGAUCCGGCAUUGCCGCAAGCUGUGGCAUAGCUUGGAGAUGUGGCUAGGACCUGGUGUUGCUGUGGCUGUGGUAUAAGCUGUAGCUGCAGCUCCAAUUCGACCCCUAGCCCAGGACUUUUAUCCUGGAAAUAUUCUGAAUUUCAUUUGUUAUUCUAUCUCUAUGGAUCUCUAACACUGAUAGUCUUUGCAGAAUCUAGAACUUUCAUCUGAAGAAAAAUGAAGAUUGUUGUGACUAUAGAUCCCACUGGAGCACUACUGGGUGAGAGCGUGCUGGGCAGAGGAGGUGGUGCCCCCUUCACCAUGUCCUACAAGACUGCCCAGUGCACCAAAGGGAGGCUGAGAGAAGGCAAAACUUGUGCCCAGUCACCACUAAUUCGUGGAGAGUUGGGUGUGCCUUCUGUCCGAAUUCUAAAGUUGUGCCCCACCCUUCCCUUCAGUUUUCGGUGUCUGGUUUGCUUUAUUUCUGCAACCAGCGGGAGAGCUCGCUAUCAUCCCUAUUUUUUUUUUUUUUUUUGGUCUUUUUUUGCUAUUUCUUUGGGCCGCUCCCACAGCAUAUGGAGGUUCCCAGGCUAGGGGUCUAAUUGGAGCUGUAGCUGCCAGCCUACACCACAGCCACAGCAACGAGGGAUCCGAGCCGCGUCUACAACCUACACCACAGCUCACGGCAACGCUGGGUCCUUAACCCACUGAGCGAGGCCAGGGACCGAACCUCAUGGUUCCUAGUCGGAUUCGUUAACCACUGCGCCACAACGGGAACUCCCAUCCCUAUUUUUUAAUACUAGUAAACUGAGUCUCAAAGCAUGAUAUAUACUGCCUAAGCUUGCUCCUUUUUAAAACUCUGGAUCUUAGAUCUUCGGUUCCUUGUACUACACCAUGCAUGUAACAGGUUUUUAAAAAUUUAAAAAAAAAUCUGUUCUGUUAAAAGAUAUACUGGGGCCUAUCAAAAUCUUUGAGUUUAUUUGGGCCAAAUUCAAUUUGAGUUGGGCAGCAUCUAGAAAGCAGAUAAGAGAACCCUGAGCUGCUGUACACAAUGCAGGUCUUUUUAAGGCAGAAGAGGGCAGAACCUAGGAAGUUAC
RNAcentral lists this long non-coding RNA (5500 nucleotides) under Sus scrofa (pig). RNAcentral describes it as "lncRNA (ENSSSCG00000057695.1)". Lineage: Eukaryota; Metazoa; Chordata; Mammalia; Artiodactyla; Suidae. The record is from RNAcentral.